Molecule: ribosomal RNA, 492 nt
Filed under: uncultured bacterium
Lineage: Bacteria
Description: partial 16S ribosomal RNA
Rfam family: Bacterial small subunit ribosomal RNA
Source: RNAcentral
AGUGAACGCUGGCGGUAGGCCUAACACAUGCAAGUCGAACGGCAGCACAGUAAGAGCUUGCUCUUACGGGUGGCGAGUGGCGGACGGGUGAGGAAUACAUCGGAAUCUACUUUUUCGUGGGGGAUAACGUAGGGAAACUUACGCUAAUACCGCAUACGACCUACGGGUGAAAGCAGGGGAUCUUCGGACCUUGCGCGAUUGAAUGAGCCGAUGUCGGAUUAGCUAGUUGGCGGGGUAAAGGCCCACCAAGGCGACGAUCCGUAGCUGGUCUGAGAGGAUGAUCAGCGACACGGGAACUGAGACACGGUCCAGACUCCUACGGGAGGCAGCAGUGGGGAAUAUUGGACAAUGGGCGCAAGCCUGAUCCAGCCAUACCGCGUGGGUGAAGAAGGCCUUCGGGUUGUAAAGCCCUUUUGUUGGGAAAGAAAAGCAGCAGGUUAAUACGCCGCUGUUCUGACGGUACCCAAAGAAUAAGCACCGGCUAACUUCGUG